This 533-nucleotide long non-coding RNA is filed under the name Bemisia tabaci. RNAcentral describes it as "lncRNA ENSASIAIIG010067". Lineage: Eukaryota; Metazoa; Arthropoda; Insecta; Hemiptera; Aleyrodidae. The record is from RNAcentral.
UAGUAGAUAUUUACCGAAAACAACAAGCAUCUCCGGGUCAUCGGUGCAUCGAUGAGUGAGGCAGUCGCUGCGUGGACCAAUCAGAGUGGCCCUCGAUCGGCCGAAGUUGCGCGAGAUCCGCCGAAGUUGCGCGAGCGGCCCGUUUGAAUCUGAGUGGAGUAACGAUUUUCGGCAUUACGCUUUCAUUUCCUCGAUUUUUAGACAGUGUCACAAAAGGGUUAGUUAGUUUUCUAAAGUGAAAUUUCAUCUUCUUUCGAAAAGGUUCUUAUGAAAUUUUGCGUCAGAUUAACCCUGAAAAAGAUAUCGGCGAGAAAUCAUCGCGCGGCAGGCGUUCUCCCAUAAGAACGCGUGUUAAACCGCGGCCGAGUUUCAUCUACUAGUGUGACGUCACAGAAUCAUAGUUACGGCCUCUCCAUUCUCGUAGGCAACGCCUCCACCAGCGUGUUGUGUUUCGGUUGUGUUCUUUUUAAUUUCUUAAUUUUUGUGCUCGCAGCUCGCUCGCUCCUCCUCCUCCUCAACGCUCCUUUAGGAAU